This 566-nucleotide long non-coding RNA is filed under the name Betta splendens (Siamese fighting fish). Its description in RNAcentral is "lncRNA (ENSBSLG00000012625.1)". The record is from RNAcentral. Lineage: Eukaryota; Metazoa; Chordata; Actinopteri; Anabantiformes; Osphronemidae.
GGAUGUUGGAGUGAUAAUGACCUAAUAACAGCUGAUUGCUAGUUCACAGAGAGGACUGCGUGUUGCGUUCACGGCCCGGCUUGCGCGUGGAUUUGAGCGAGCGUUUUGAGCGCGGUCGCAUCCAGCGAGGCUGAAGCCGCGGCCGUGACGAACGCAGAUUAAAUCCUCUGAGAGGUGUUUUGCCUUAAGCAGCCAGCUGCUGGAGUCCCGUGCAGUGGAAAGUGGCCUAAGGAUAAUUAUGUAAAGUAGAGUCCCGACGGCGCCCGUGCCCGUUCACGGCGAACAGCGUUACAGUCAACUGCCAAUCUGGGCCCUGCUGUUCGGGGCCUCGCCUGCUGACAAAUGGCCCGGAGGAGAGGUCCGAGGAGAGUCCUGUCAGAGGCAGCGAGCCUCUGCAGCGAUGCUGGCGAAGGCGGAGGCGGAGGCGGAGGAGGCGCUCGCCAAAUAGAUCUCAGCAGAAACCUCCGACGCUGAGCGCUCCGGUCCCUGGCACCGGCGCCCGAUCCGUUUGUGUCAACGCGGGGAGAUGCUGACGCUCCAGAUGUGCGCGAUUCAAAUCCGUCAGC